CCUACGGGUGGCUGCAGUGGGGAAUAUUGGACAAUGGGGGGAACCCUGAUCCAGCCAUGCCGCGUGUGUGAAGAAGGCCUUUUGGUUGUAAAGCACUUUAAGCGAGGAGGAGGAGCUCUAGAUUAAUACUCUAGAUGCUUGGACGUUACUCGCAGAAUAAGCACCGGCUAACUCUGUGCCAGCAGCCGCGGUAAUACAGAGGGUGCAAGCGUUAAUCGGAUUUACUGGGCGUAAAGCGUGCGUAGGUGGUCUUUUAAGUCGGAUGUGAAAUCCCUGAGCUUAACUUAGGAAUUGCAUUCGAUACUGGGAGACUAGAGUAUGGGAGAGGAUGGUAGAAUUCCAGGUGUAGCGGUGAAAUGCGUAGAGAUCUGGAGGAAUACCGAUGGCGAAGGCAGCCAUCUGGCCUAAUACUGACACUGAGGUACGAAAGCAUGGGGAGCAAACAGGAUUAGAUACCCUUGUAGUC
RNAcentral lists this ribosomal RNA (466 nucleotides) under Weissella confusa. RNAcentral describes it as "bacterial SSU rRNA". It matches the Rfam family "Bacterial small subunit ribosomal RNA", at positions 338 to 795 of the family's 1533-position model. Lineage: Bacteria; Bacillati; Bacillota; Bacilli; Lactobacillales; Lactobacillaceae. The record is from RNAcentral.